GGGUUGUGAGGUUAAGCGACUAAGCGUACACGGUGGAUGCCCUGGCAGUCAGAGGCGAUGAAGGACGUGCUAAUCUGCGAUAAGCGUCGGUGAGGUGAUAUGAACCGUUAUAACCGGCGAUUUCCGAAUGGGGAAACCCAGUGUGUUUCGACACACUAUCAUUAACUGAAUCCAUAGGUUAAUGAGGCGAACCGGGGGAACUGAAACAUCUAAGUACCCCGAGGAAAAGAAAUCAACCGAGAUUCCCCCAGUAGCGGCGAGCGAACGGGGAGGAGCCCAGAGCCUGAAUCAGUGUGUGUGUUAGUGGAAGCGUCUGGAAAGGCGCGCGAUACAGGGUGACAGCCCCGUACACAAAAAUGCACAUACUGUGAGCUCGAUGAGUAGGGCGGGACACGUGGUAUCCUGUCUGAAUAUGGGGGGACCAUCCUCCAAGGCUAAAUACUCCUGACUGACCGAUAGUGAACCAGUACCGUGAGGGAAAGGCGAAAAGAACCCCGGCGAGGGGAGUGAAAAAGAACCUGAAACCGUGUACGUACAAGCAGUGGGAGCCUCUUAAUGGGGUGACUGCGUACCUUUUGUAUAAUGGGUCAGCGACUUAUAUUCUGUAGCAAGGUUAACCGAAUAGGGGAGCCGAAGGGAAACCGAGUCUUAACUGGGCGUUAAGUUGCAGGGUAUAGACCCGAAACCCGGUGAUCUAGCCAUGGGCAGGUUGAAGGUUGGGUAACACUAACUGGAGGACCGAACCGACUAAUGUUGAAAAAUUAGCGGAUGACUUGUGGCUGGGGGUGAAAGGCCAAUCAAACCGGGAGAUAGCUGGUUCUCCCCGAAAGCUAUUUAGGUAGCGCCUCGUGAAUUCAUCUCCGGGGGUAGAGCACUGUUUCGGCAAGGGGGUCAUCCCGACUUACCAAUCCGAUGCAAACUGCGAAUACCGGAGAAUGUUAUCACGGGAGACACACGGCGGGUGCUAACGUCCGUCGUGAAGAGGGAAACAACCCAGACCGCCAGCUAAGGUCCCAAAGUCAUGGUUAAGUGGGAAACGAUGUGGGAAGGCCCAGACAGCCAGGAUGUUGGCUUAGAAGCAGCCAUCAUUUAAAGAAAGCGUAAUAGCUCACUGGUCGAGUCGGCCUGCGCGGAAGAUGUAACGGGGCUAAACCAUGCACCGAAGCUGCGGCAGCGACACUAUGUGUUGUUGGGUAGGGGAGCGUUCUGUAAGCCUGUGAAGGUGUACUGUGAGGUAUGCUGGAGGUAUCAGAAGUGCGAAUGCUGACAUAAGUAACGAUAAAGCGGGUGAAAAGCCCGCUCGCCGGAAGACCAAGGGUUCCUGUCCAACGUUAAUCGGGGCAGGGUGAGUCGACCCCUAAGGCGAGGCCGAAAGGCGUAGUCGAUGGGAAACAGGUUAAUAUUCCUGUACUUGGUGUUACUGCGAAGGGGGGACGGAGAAGGCUAUGUUGGCCGGGCGACGGUUGUCCCGGUUUAAGCGUGUAGGCUGGUUUUCCAGGCAAAUCCGGAAAAUCAAGGCUGAGGCGUGAUGACGAGGCACUACGGUGCUGAAGCGACAAAUGCCCUGCUUCCAGGAAAAGCCUCUAAGCAUCAGGUAACAUCAAAUCGUACCCCAAACCGACACAGGUGGUCAGGUAGAGAAUACCAAGGCGCUUGAGAGAACUCGGGUGAAGGAACUAGGCAAAAUGGUGCCGUAACUUCGGGAGAAGGCACGCUGAUAUGUAGGUGAAGCGACUUGCUCGUGGAGCUGAAAUCAGUCGAAGAUACCAGCUGGCUGCAACUGUUUAUUAAAAACACAGCACUGUGCAAACACGAAAGUGGACGUAUACGGUGUGACGCCUGCCCGGUGCCGGAAGGUUAAUUGAUGGGGUUAGCGGUAACGCGAAGCUCUUGAUCGAAGCCCCGGUAAACGGCGGCCGUAACUAUAACGGUCCUAAGGUAGCGAAAUUCCUUGUCGGGUAAGUUCCGACCUGCACGAAUGGCGUAAUGAUGGCCAGGCUGUCUCCACCCGAGACUCAGUGAAAUUGAACUCGCUGUGAAGAUGCAGUGUACCCGCGGCAAGACGGAAAGACCCCGUGAACCUUUACUAUAGCUUGACACUGAACAUUGAGCCUUGAUGUGUAGGAUAGGUGGGAGGCUUUGAAGUGUGGACGCCAGUCUGCAUGGAGCCGACCUUGAAAUACCACCCUUUAAUGUUUGAUGUUCUAACGUGGGCCCCUUACCGGGGUUGCGGACAGUGUCUGGUGGGUAGUUUGACUGGGGCGGUCUCCUCCUAAAGAGUAACGGAGGAGCACGAAGGUUGGCUAAUCCUGGUCGGACAUCAGGAGGUUAGUGCAAUGGCAUAAGCCAGCUUGACUGCGAGCGUGACGGCGCGAGCAGGUGCGAAAGCAGGUCAUAGUGAUCCGGUGGUUCUGAAUGGAAGGGCCAUCGCUCAACGGAUAAAAGGUACUCCGGGGAUAACAGGCUGAUACCGCCCAAGAGUUCAUAUCGACGGCGGUGUUUGGCACCUCGAUGUCGGCUCAUCACAUCCUGGGGCUGAAGUAGGUCCCAAGGGUAUGGCUGUUCGCCAUUUAAAGUGGUACGCGAGCUGGGUUUAGAACGUCGUGAGACAGUUCGGUCCCUAUCUGCCGUGGGCGCUGGAGAACUGAGGGGGGCUGCUCCUAGUACGAGAGGACCGGAGUGGACGCAUCACUGGUGUUCGGGUUGUCAUGCCAAUGGCACUGCCCGGUAGCUAAAUGCGGAAGAGAUAAGUGCUGAAAGCAUCUAAGCACGAAACUUGCCCCGAGAUGAGUUCUCCCUGACUCCUUGAGAGUCCUGAAGGAACGUUGAAGACGACGACGUUGAUAGGCCGGGUGUGUAAGCGCAGCGAUGCGUUGAGCUAACCGGUACUAAUGAACCGUGAGGCUUAACCUUACAACGCCGAAG
Molecule: ribosomal RNA, 2925 nt
Filed under: Escherichia coli
Lineage: Bacteria; Pseudomonadati; Pseudomonadota; Gammaproteobacteria; Enterobacterales; Enterobacteriaceae
Description: bacterial LSU rRNA
Rfam family: Bacterial large subunit ribosomal RNA
Source: RNAcentral